Molecule: ribosomal RNA, 292 nt
Filed under: uncultured bacterium
Lineage: Bacteria
Description: partial 16S ribosomal RNA
Rfam family: Bacterial small subunit ribosomal RNA
Source: RNAcentral
GUGUCAGCCGCCGCGGUAAUACGGAGGGUGCAAGCGUUGUUCGGAAUCACUGGGCGUAAAGGGCGUGUAGGUGGCUAAUUAAGUCAGGUGUGAAAUCCUUCCGCUUAACGGGAGAAGUGCACUUGAAACUGCUUAGCUAGAGUACGGGAGAGGAAGGUGGAAUUCCUGGUGUAGAGGUGAAAUUCAUAGAUAUCGGGAAGAACACCGGUGGCGAAGGCGGCCUUCUGGCCCGAUACUGACGCUGAGACGCGAAAGCGUGGGGAGCAAACAGGAUUAGAAACCCCAGUAGUCC